Molecule: long non-coding RNA, 651 nt
Organism: Amphibalanus amphitrite
Lineage: Eukaryota; Metazoa; Arthropoda; Thecostraca; Balanomorpha; Balanidae
Exons: 3
Source: RefSeq, a predicted model, not a curated record
CUUCGUGCGAUCCAGGGAGCUCGUGUCUGUGCUGCAUCUGACGUCUUGUUGAUACGGCUCAAGAUGAGCAGAAUGAAGGUCAAUCUCGAAGUCCCACAGUCAGAGCUCAAGACCUGUGAGGCAGGACUUCAUUCCUUGAUGAAUGCGGCUCAACUGCUAACAGGAUAAGAAGACACGGACCAGGAGAAGUUGGACGCUUUUUAGAAUUUCCCCUCGUACCGCUAGUGUCAUGGGCGGAGGGGAGCGAGGCUGCGCUGCGCUGCCAUCUCCGAAGACAACACGCCUCUGAGUGUGCGCCUCCUAGUUUGUGCGGCAAUGUUCCCCGUGUUCAAUGAAAAAAUUAAAUGCCCCAGCGCUCAGAACUCCCAUCUAGUAUUGACGCAAGAGCUCUCCCAAAUGUCGACCGGAAAGUCGUUAAAAAAUCGUUGCGACGGUCGGCUCGACAAGCUGAAGACCGCGCCAGUGAAUGCAUUUGAAACGACACCUGUACGCUCCCAUCGCCAGGCCCAAAGACGUGUUGUUCAUAGGUGUCUUUCACAAUACUAGUGUUGCUGAUCGCGGAGGACCACUGUCCACUGCUCGUCCGCUGUGGCGUUACUUCUGAUGAGGCUCAGAGCGCAUGUUUACUGUGAACAACCUGUUGAAAUAUAU